RNAcentral lists this unclassified non-coding RNA (2083 nucleotides) under Rhagoletis pomonella (apple maggot). Its description in RNAcentral is "uncharacterized LOC118735413, transcript variant X1". The record is from RNAcentral. Lineage: Eukaryota; Metazoa; Arthropoda; Insecta; Diptera; Tephritidae.
AAUGUUUUUCAAUUAUUGUGCUAUUUGCUAGGCACAAAACUACGCUGAAGACCCAAGGCGAUGAAAAACUCAACAAUGUCGUUACAAAAAAAGCUUCACACAAAUUUACCGAAAACAAAGCAUACGUGUGAUAAAAGUCAAUAUUAUAAAACAAUAAGGCGAAAACAAAUUUUAAAGCGCCGUAUUGAACUAAGUAGAAUGUGCAACAGCGCAUACCGGGCAUAAGCGCCUAGAGGUAUGCAACAAUUUGCAGAAGAAGUUUAUGUAUGGAAGGCGCAGCAGAAGUGUAUUGCAAAAAGUCCUGCACACGUUCAUAUGUAUAUGCGUAUGUGUUAGUGAGUUGCUGCACUUGUACUUGGAGAUAUGUAAGUGGUUGUAAGUGCGCACACAAGCUCAAGUGCCAAAGUGUGUUGAGCUUUUACUAAAGGAGUUGCGUGAAGUUGUUUGCCACUAUAAGCGUGCUGCAGGGAAAGAGUUGUUAAUGUGAGGCGUGUAAUUACUAACAAAUAACUGCACUUGAAAGCGAAAUAAAAAAGCAACAAAAACAACAAAUGCUUAUAGCUGCUUGCAAAUAUUAGAAAGCAAAAGUGAGUUGUGUGAGUGCGAUAACUACGCCCGCAUCGCAACAUCAUCUUCUCGUCUGGAUUUCCUUCUCCGCGCUUACUGCUUGCUCGUACGUUGCAACUUUCAAUCUCUUCACGCACGCAGCGAUAUUUUACGUGUUGCUAAAGUUUAGGAAACUGCAACAGAAUAGCAUUUUAAAUCAGCAGCAUCGUUUUUAACUGCCUGUCUUCCACCAACAACGGAGCAAAACUUAUAAACUUUCAACCAAGUACUUGUAACAAGCUGAUUUGACUUGUAAUAACGCUUGCGUACAACUAACUUGCCGCUCACGUCAACAGCCAAGACGGCGGCACCUCAAGACCCAUGCACAGUAUAAGCUCCAUUUUUGUGGCCAAAAGUUGCAUUGUUGCACAAAGUGCGCAUCAGAACUACUAACGGAGGUAAAAACUCUACAAAAGUUAAAUGGACAUACUUACUAUAAUGUCGCCUGACGUCGUGAGGGCAAGUGAACCAAGUGGACUAAAAAGCUGAACCGCAAAGCAAGUUCAACAACAUAGAGUCACAAACACCGCAAAGCAAAUAUGUAGACUGCAUUAAGCUAUAAAGUUUGUAAGUCGUAAAUGCAAAAAAAAAACAGUAUUUACAACAGCAAACCAAAAGCAUGCGCGUUUUGCAAAAAAGCUAACGCCAGGACACCUGCGCCUUGAACAUAGCUAAAAGCGUCAGUUGCGACCUGCAACAAGUACCACAUAACUGAAAUAUAAAACACACCAAAAGCAGCUACAUAGCACACAUUCAUUGAAGGUUGCUUCUCCCUCCUAUUGCUAACCAGCCAUCACAUCACACAUUAUCUCCGACGGUCUGUGGUUAAGCUGCAAGCACAAAUCCAUAUACAAUGCCCAUGAAUACCAUCACAGUUGUAGCACGCGUCUUUGUUUUUUACCGUCAUUCGCCUUCUUCUCGCCUAACAUCUACAUAUUCUACUCGCAUUACACACGAAGCCACUAAGCAUAUUGGCUUUAUCUCCACCGCCAUGGGUCAGUUUAAAUGUUGCUGCGUGGACACUUUGUGUGGAAUAAGGAGUUUUUUGCCCAUCACCAUCCGCCCCCGGAGUGGAAACGGAAGUGAUACGUUCAUGUUUGCACAAGUUCCACCGUCACUUAAGGCUGCCAAUCAAUUGCUAGGCGCACCCGUUGAACGUGAAAUCAAUAUCGAAUGCAUUGUGAAAGUUUAUCCGGAGCUGUUCGCUGGCUGGUAUCACAAUGAAGUGAUGUGGAUGUCUGCGGAUAGGUAACUUAAACCUGCACAGUAGCAACAAGUAGAAGCUAUCGGAUGCCAUGUUUAACUUGUACACGUGGCAUCUCAACCUGACAAACCUUCAUCUGUCUAAGGCCGAAUUUGGCGCCUAUACGACUACGACUAUACGACUACAAGGUACCAAAGCACAACGUUAGUGAUGUCAUCGAUGGCGACGAAAAAUCGCAGCAACCGUCAUUGCCCCGGCUCAUAUCCCCAGCGC